Long non-coding RNA from Coffea eugenioides, 781 nucleotides. RefSeq lists it as uncharacterized. The record is from RefSeq and is a predicted model, not a curated record. Lineage: Eukaryota; Viridiplantae; Streptophyta; Magnoliopsida; Gentianales; Rubiaceae. The transcript is spliced from 2 exons.
UACAGGCGGAGCUCGUCAAGAAUCUCAAGUGAAGCAGCGACCUUGGCUACCACUAGGGUUGUAGGCGGCGCGUUCUUCCAUUUAGCUUUAAGAUCGAUGCAAAGAAAGGAGACUACCAAGUGACUUUCAAAGACUCAAAAGUAUGGGUGAAGGGCGUAGAUCUUCGGCACGGGUACCACGGAAGGAAAAUUGUGUAACUGGGCGGACUCAGUUUCAAACGGGUACCUCAUCUCAGCCUCUCGAGCUUGAUAUGCCUGCGAGAAUUUAUGAGUUGCUUCAAGAGUUGCAUGUUCAGCUUGAUCGCCAAUUCCAGACAAUGAAUCAAAAAAUGGAUCGUUUGGAAUAUGGGCUUACACUGCUGAUGGAUGAAUCUCAACGGCAGCAGUACCAAAUAUUCAAGCAACAGCAGCUGAUGGACAAUAAUAAUAUGGAAGACGAAGAAGGGGGAGAAGAUGAGGACCAACAAGAGCAUCACAAUGAAAGAACCCAGAAAGGGCAAAAUGGUGGGGGAGAGCAUGAGCGGAGGACCAAGGCUCGACGCUCGUAGAUAAUGAGUGGCUACGGUUGUGAAUUGUGAUCCAACUGUUAGUGACUGUCUGUUCAGUUUCCUUUUAACCCUUUUGUUAGUUGGCUGUGAAUUAGUGGUUCAUGUAAACUUAAAAAAGGAGUUCUGAUCCUUGUUUUGGUCUUUUGCGGUGCCGAUGAAACUAAGCUGCUAUGUGAUGUUUGCAUUCAAUGUGUGGUUAACUUUUGGUGGUACUGUAAAUUCUUCUGUUUCGCA